UAAGGAAUAUUGGUCAAUGGACGCAAGUCCGAACCAGCCAUGCCGCGUGAAGGAUGAAGGUCCUCUGGAUUGUAAACUUCUUUUAUAUGGGACGAAACCCCCGAAUUCUUUCGGGAUUGACGGUACCAUAAGAAUAAGCACCGGCUAACUCCGUGCCAGCAGCCGCGGUAAUACGGAGGGUGCAAGCGUUAUCCGGAUUCACUGGGUUUAAAGGGUGCGUAGGAGGGCAGGUAAGUCAGUGGUGAAAUCUCCGAGCUUAACUUGGAAACUGCCGUUGAUACUAUCUGUCUUGAAUAUUGUGGAGGUGAGCGGAAUAUGUCAUGUAGCGGUGAAAUGCUUAGAUAUGACAUAGAACACCAAUUGCGAAGGCAGCUCGCUACACAUAUAUUGACUCUGAGGCACGAAAGCGUGGGGAUCAAACAGGAUUAGAUACCCUGGUAGUCCACGCCCUAAACGAUGGAUACUCGACAUACGCGAUACACAGUGUGUGUCUGAGCGAAAGCAUUAAGUAUCCCACCUGGGAAGUACGACCGCAAGGUUGA
Molecule: ribosomal RNA, 542 nt
Filed under: uncultured Flavisolibacter sp.
Lineage: Bacteria; Pseudomonadati; Bacteroidota; Chitinophagia; Chitinophagales; Chitinophagaceae
Description: bacterial SSU rRNA
Rfam family: Bacterial small subunit ribosomal RNA
Source: RNAcentral